GUCUCUUGAAGCUCUCGCUUAACAUUCUCAAGACCUCCAAUAUCUUCCCAGCUCACAUUAGGCACUUCAACAACUGUUUCACGCAAAGCAGAUGGGUUGCUUGUUCCAAGUGCAGUUUGGAAGUGUUCAUUAGUAACUGCCAUAGAGUUAAGUAUCUCAGCAUCUAUCGACUCAUCUUCCAAAUCUAUCACAUCCAUCUUCUCCCUGAUGCACUGAAGUGCAGCCUCAGUGCAAAGAGCAGCUAAAUCAGCACCAACGUAACCAUGUGUGUCUUUGGCAAUUCUUUCUAAAUCAACAUCUUCAGCAAGCUUCAUAUUCUUUGUAUGGAUUCGAAGAACCUCAAGACGCCCAACUUCAUCUGGAACACCAAUAUCAAUUUCCCUAUCAAAUCUACCAAACCUUCUCAAAGCUGGGUCUAUGCUGUUGGGACGAUUUGUGGCCCCAAUGACAAUAACAUGAGCACGGGAUUUAAGUCCAUCCAUAAGUGUCAAGAGCUGGGAUACUAUCCUCCUCUCAACUUCACCAUGUGUCUUCUCCCGCUUAGGAGCAAUUGAAUCAAUCUCAUCA
This 567-nucleotide unclassified non-coding RNA is filed under the name Hevea brasiliensis (rubber tree). Lineage: Eukaryota; Viridiplantae; Streptophyta; Magnoliopsida; Malpighiales; Euphorbiaceae. The record is from RNAcentral.